UGACCGCUGGCGGUAGGCCUAACACAUGCAAGUCGAACGGCAGCACAGUAAGAGCUUGCUCCUACGGGUGGCGAGUGGCGGACGGGUGAGGAAUACAUCGGAAUCUACUUUUUCGUGGGGGAUAACGUAGGGAAACUUACGCUAAUACCGCAUACGACCUACGGGUGAAAGCAGGGGAUCUUCGGACCUUGCGCGAUUGAAUGAGCCGAUGUCGGAUUAGCUAGUUGGCGGGGUAAAGGCCCACCAAGGCGACGAUCCGUAGCUGGUCUGAGAGGAUGAUCAGCCACACUGGAACUGAGACACGGUCCAGACUCCUACGGGAGGCAGCAGUGGGGAAUAUUGGACAAUGGGCGCAAGCCUGAUCCAGCCAUACCGCGUGGGUGAAGAAGGCCUUCGGGUUGUAAAGCCCUUUUGUUGGGGAAGAAAAGCAGCAGGUUAAUACCCCGCUGUUCUGACGGUACCCAAAGAAUAAGCACCGGCUAACUUCGUG
This 490-nucleotide ribosomal RNA is filed under the name uncultured bacterium. Its description in RNAcentral is "partial 16S ribosomal RNA". It matches the Rfam family "Bacterial small subunit ribosomal RNA", at positions 30 to 507 of the family's 1533-position model. The record is from RNAcentral.